RNAcentral lists this ribosomal RNA (722 nucleotides) under Bacillus sp. MJH63. Its description in RNAcentral is "bacterial SSU rRNA". It matches the Rfam family "Bacterial small subunit ribosomal RNA", at positions 57 to 761 of the family's 1533-position model. The record is from RNAcentral. Lineage: Bacteria; Bacillati; Bacillota; Bacilli; Caryophanales; Bacillaceae.
GCAAGUCGAGCGAAUCUGAGGGAGCUUGCUCCCGAUGAUUAGCGGCGGACGGGUGAGUAACACGUGGGUAACCUGCCUGUAAGAUUGGGAUAACUCCGGGAAACCGGAGCUAAUACCGGAUAACAUUUCGAACCGCAUGGUUCGAAGUUGAAAGGUGGCUUUUGCUACCACUUACAGAUGGACCCGCGGCGCAUUAGCUGGUUGGUGAGGUAACGGCUCACCAAGGCAACGAUGCGUAGCCGACCUGAGAGGGUGAUCGGCCACACUGGGACUGAGACACGGCCCAGACUCCUACGGGAGGCAGCAGUAGGGAAUCUUCCGCAAUGGACGAAAGUCUGACGGAGCAACGCCGCGUGAGCGAAGAAGGCCUUCGGGUCGUAAAGCUCUGUUGUUAGGGAAGAACAAGUACCGUUCAAAUAGGGCGGUACCUUGACGGUACCUAACCAGAAAGCCACGGCUAACUACGUGCCAGCAGCCGCGGUAAUACGUAGGUGGCAAGCGUUGUCCGGAAUUAUUGGGCGUAAAGCGCGCGCAGGCGGUUUCUUAAGUCUGAUGUGAAAGCCCACGGCUCAACCGUGGAGGGUCAUUGGAAACUGGGGAACUUGAGUGCAGAAGAGGAGAGUGGAAUUCCACGUGUAGCGGUGAAAUGCGUAGAGAUGUGGAGGAACACCAGUGGCGAAGGCGACUCUCUGGUCUGUAACUGACGCUGAGGCGCGAAAGCG